UACGUAGGGGGCAAGCGUUGUCCGGAUUUAUUGGGCGUAAAGCGCUCGCAGGUGGUUCGUUGCGUCGUGCGUGAAAGCCCCCGGCUCAACUGGGGAGGGUCGUGCGAUACGGGCGAACUGGAGGCCAGUAGGGGGAUGCGGAAUUCCGGGUGUAGUGGUGGAAUGCGUAGAGAUCCGGAGGAACACCAGCGGCGAAGGCGGCAUCCUGGACUGGUCCUGACACUCAUGAGCGAAAGCGUGGGGAGCGAUCCGG
RNAcentral lists this ribosomal RNA (253 nucleotides) under uncultured bacterium. RNAcentral describes it as "partial 16S ribosomal RNA". It matches the Rfam family "Bacterial small subunit ribosomal RNA", at positions 524 to 776 of the family's 1533-position model. The record is from RNAcentral.